RNAcentral lists this ribosomal RNA (509 nucleotides) under Candida albicans. RNAcentral describes it as "eukaryotic LSU rRNA". The stretch from base 142 to 295 matches the Rfam family "5.8S ribosomal RNA". The record is from RNAcentral. Lineage: Eukaryota; Fungi; Ascomycota; Pichiomycetes; Serinales; Debaryomycetaceae.
GGCUUCUGAUUGCUAUUGCACCACAUGUGUUUUUCUUUGAAACAAACUUGCUUUGGCGGUGGGCCCAGCCUGCCGCCAGAGGUCUAAACUUACAACCAAUUUUUUAUCAACUUGUCACACCAGAUUAUUACUAAUAGUCAAAACUUUCAACAACGGAUCUCUUGGUUCUCGCAUCGAUGAAGAACGCAGCGAAAUGCGAUACGUAAUAUGAAUUGCAGAUAUUCGUGAAUCAUCGAAUCUUUGAACGCACAUUGCGCCCUCUGGUAUUCCGGAGGGCAUGCCUGUUUGAGCGUCGUUUCUCCCUCAAACCGCUGGGUUUGGUGUUGAGCAAUACGACUUGGGUUUGCUUGAAAGACGGUAGUGGUAAGGCGGGAUCGCUUUGACAAUGGCUUAGGUCUAACCAAAAACAUUGCUUGCGGCGGUAACGUCUACCACGUAUAUCUUCAAACUUUGACCUCAAAUCAGGUAGGACUACCCGCUGAACUUAAGCAUAUCAAUAAGCGGAGGAA